Molecule: ribosomal RNA, 450 nt
Filed under: uncultured Gammaproteobacteria bacterium
Lineage: Bacteria; Pseudomonadati; Pseudomonadota; Gammaproteobacteria
Description: bacterial SSU rRNA
Rfam family: Bacterial small subunit ribosomal RNA
Source: RNAcentral
GGCCUAACACAUGCAAGUCGAGCGGAUGAGAAGAGCUUGCUCUUCGAUUCAGCGGCGGACGGGUGAGUAAUGCCUAGGAAUCUGCCUGGUAGUGGGGGACAACGUUUCGAAAGGAACGCUAAUACCGCAUACGUCCUACGGGAGAAAGCAGGGGACCUUCGGGCCUUGCGCUAUCAGAUGAGCCUAGGUCGGAUUAGCUAGUUGGUGAGGUAAUGGCUCACCAAGGCGACGAUCCGUAACUGGUCUGAGAGGAUGAUCAGUCACACUGGAACUGAGACACGGUCCAGACUCCUACGGGAGGCAGCAGUGGGGAAUAUUGGACAAUGGGGGGAACCCUGAUCCAGCCAUGCCGCGUGUGUGAAGAAGGCCUUAUGGUUGUAAAGCACUUUAAGCGAGGAGGAGGCUCUCUUGGUUAAUACCCAAGAUGAGUGGACGUUACUCGCAGAAUAA